Molecule: ribosomal RNA, 457 nt
Filed under: uncultured Thiobacillus sp.
Lineage: Bacteria; Pseudomonadati; Pseudomonadota; Betaproteobacteria; Nitrosomonadales; Thiobacillaceae
Description: bacterial SSU rRNA
Rfam family: Bacterial small subunit ribosomal RNA
Source: RNAcentral
ACCCGCACAAGCGGUGGAUGAUGUGGAUUAAUCGAUGCAACGCGAAGAACCUUACCUACCCUUGACAUGUCCGGAACUUGCCAGAGAUGGCUUGGUGCCCGAAAGGGAAUCGGAACACAGGUGCUGCAUGGCUGUCGUCAGCUCGUGUCGUGAGAUGUUGGGUUAAGUCCCGCAACGAGCGCAACCCUUAUCAUUAGUUGCUACGCAAGGGCACUCUAAUGAGACUGCCGGUGACAAACCGGAGAAGGUGGGGAUGACGUCAAGUCCUCAUGGCCCUUAUGGGUAGGGCUUCACACGUCAUACAAUGGUCGGUACAGAGGGUUGCCAAGCCGCGAGGCGGAGCCAAUCCCACAAAGCCGAUCGUAGUCCGGAUUGUUCUCUGCAACUCGAGAGCAUGAAGUCGGAAUCGCUAGUAAUCGCAGGUCAGCAUACUGCGGUGAAUACGUUCCCGGGUCUU